GAUAGAGGUCGCGGAUACGAUCAGUACCCCAUGACAACGCCGGCAAGCGGUUAUGGGCGAAAGGCAAGUCCGCCGAAGUUGCGUUACGGUUGCCGCCGUAGGGCUGCUGGGACUGCGUCGAACAGACGCGGGACUGUCACAUGUUUUAUGUGGAGCGCUAUCA
This 163-nucleotide non-coding RNA is filed under the name uncultured Faecousia sp. Its description in RNAcentral is "Lysine riboswitch". It matches the Rfam family "Lysine riboswitch aptamer". Rfam says of the family: Riboswitches are metabolite binding domains within certain messenger RNAs that serve as precision sensors for their corresponding targets. Allosteric rearrangement of mRNA structure is mediated by ligand binding, and this results in modulation of gene expression. The record is from RNAcentral. Lineage: Bacteria; Bacillati; Bacillota; Clostridia; Eubacteriales; Oscillospiraceae.